UAUUUCGGGAAUUUUCUAUUU
This 21-nucleotide non-coding RNA is filed under the name Caenorhabditis elegans. Lineage: Eukaryota; Metazoa; Nematoda; Chromadorea; Rhabditida; Rhabditidae. The record is from RNAcentral.